Molecule: unclassified non-coding RNA, 450 nt
Filed under: Hevea brasiliensis (rubber tree)
Lineage: Eukaryota; Viridiplantae; Streptophyta; Magnoliopsida; Malpighiales; Euphorbiaceae
Source: RNAcentral
ACGAAAAAUACCCAUUGAGUGAUUAUGAGUAAAAAUUUUGCCCAUUUAAUCUAGAAACCUACAAAAAAUUAAAAUUGAGCAACUUUUAUAAAAUAACUCACAAAUUUGACUUGAGUAAUAGUUACCCCUACAUCCAUUACUCAUAUACUUUAUAAACCCUCACUUUUUAAUAAGAGCCCAACAACUUUCACCAAAACUCUAAUCAAAGCUUUUCACUCUAGGGUGACGAGCUCUAUACCUUGUUGACGAAAUCACCUCAGAAUCUAGCUUAGGCUCUUUGGUAAAGAUUGGAGGGCAAGGGAGGAGACAUAUCGUUCCACAAAUGGAUUUUCCGUUGUGGCUGAGAACAAGAAACUUCUUGCGAACUUGUGAACUGGGCUCUUGUUCCUUAGUGGGUGGGUAUUUAUACAACAAUUUUUUUCUUAAUUUUUAUUGAAUAUUCAAUUUAAA